RNAcentral lists this long non-coding RNA (768 nucleotides) under Gopherus evgoodei (Goodes thornscrub tortoise). RNAcentral describes it as "lncRNA (ENSGEVG00005010319.1)". Lineage: Eukaryota; Metazoa; Chordata; Testudines; Testudinidae. The record is from RNAcentral.
GCAGGUGCAGGUGUCCUGCAAAGGAGACCAUCUUGUAUGUCUUUGUCUCUCUCAGCGGCUGUCCGCUCUGAGGAUUCUGAGUGAAGAGAAGCUGCUGCUUUCUGGCUUUGGCUGCUGAACAAAAAACCAAAGAUACCUUUUUGGACUCCCACUGUUUAUGUCAAAAGCCUUGUAGCACAAGCCUCAGGAGUGAAAAUCCUGCAAGGUAUCUUCAGAAAAGCAAAAUAAUAAGGAACGUGACUUCCAAUAUAAUAAUAGGUGUUCACAAAGCUCUACAGCAGACCAGAAUUCUGUCCCAAUGAAGUUAGAGAAUAGUCACGAGUGGAUACAGUACCUCCAUAAACAAAUACUGUGAAGGGAAUAUAAUGGGGUUCUGUCAUUGUAAGUAGAAUACCUAGUGGACCAAGUUUGUUUUCCAAGAGUAAAGCACUUGAGUCAGGGUGGAUUGAUUUUAAAUCAAUGCAGUUUGAUUAAAUCACCAAUUUUAAUGCUGAUUUGAAUCAGUAUGCAAGAAUUGUUUAGUUUUUUGGAUUUAUACUUUUCAGUUAUUUUCUGAACAAAGGUUGAUUCUUAUUAGUUGAUGAUACGUGUUGAUUUGCAACUAAACAUAUUCUUACCCUAAAUCCGGGGCGUCUUUUUGCUAAUCAGGGUAUACUAUGUCUAUAUACAUUUAUUUAAAACCUUAUAUAGCGUAUGUUGCAUGUAUUCAGAUUCUUAAUUUUGACAUUUUUAAUAUUAGAAAAUGAUGAAUGAUACAUUUCUUAAAUU